GUGUCAGCAGCCGCGGUAAUACAGAGGUCCCAAGCGUUGUUCGGAUUCACUGGGCGUAAAGGGUGCGUAGGUGGUCAGGUAAGUUGGGUGUGAAAGCUCGGGGCUUAACCCCGAAACGGCAUUCAAAACUACUUGGCUGGAGGGUCGGAAGGGAGACUGGAAUUCUCGGUGUAGCGGUGAAAUGCGUAGAGAUCGAGAGGAACACCAGUGGCGAAAGCGAGUCUCUGGACGACUCCUGACACUGAGGCACGAAAGCUAGGGGAGCAAACAGGAUUAGAUACCCUGGUAGUCCUAGCCGUAAACGGUGCACAUUUGCCGUAAGAGGAAUCGACCCCUUUUGUGGCGCAGCUAACGCGAUAAAUGUGCCGCCUGGGAAGUACGGUCGCAAGAUUAAA
Molecule: ribosomal RNA, 395 nt
Filed under: uncultured bacterium
Lineage: Bacteria
Description: bacterial SSU rRNA
Rfam family: Bacterial small subunit ribosomal RNA
Source: RNAcentral